Molecule: ribosomal RNA, 924 nt
Filed under: Acinetobacter sp. 51m
Lineage: Bacteria; Pseudomonadati; Pseudomonadota; Gammaproteobacteria; Moraxellales; Moraxellaceae
Also listed under: 1 other name
Description: bacterial SSU rRNA
Rfam family: Bacterial small subunit ribosomal RNA
Source: RNAcentral
ACCUAGCGGCGGACGGGUGAGUAAUGCUUAGGAAUCUGCCUAUUAGUGGGGGACAACAUCUCGAAAGGGAUGCUAAUACCGCAUACGUCCUACGGGAGAAAGCAGGGGACCUUCGGGCCUUGCGCUAAUAGAUGAGCCUAAGUCGGAUUAGCUAGUUGGUGGGGUAAAGGCCUACCAAGGCGACGAUCUGUAGCGGGUCUGAGAGGAUGAUCCGCCACACUGGGACUGAGACACGGCCCAGACUCCUACGGGAGGCAGCAGUGGGGAAUAUUGGACAAUGGGGGGAACCCUGAUCCAGCCAUGCCGCGUGUGUGAAGAAGGCCUUUUGGUUGUAAAGCACUUUAAGCGAGGAGGAGGCUACCGAGAUUAAUACUCUUGGAUAGUGGACGUUACUCGCAGAAUAAGCACCGGCUAACUCUGUGCCAGCAGCCGCGGUAAUACAGAGGGUGCAAGCGUUAAUCGGAUUUACUGGGCGUAAAGCGCGCGUAGGUGGCCAAUUAAGUCAAAUGUGAAAUCCCCGAGCUUAACUUGGGAAUUGCAUUCGAUACUGGUUGGCUAGAGUAUGGGAGAGGAUGGUAGAAUUCCAGGUGUAGCGGUGAAAUGCGUAGAGAUCUGGAGGAAUACCGAUGGCGAAGGCAGCCAUCUGGCCUAAUACUGACACUGAGGUGCGAAAGCAUGGGGAGCAAACAGGAUUAGAUACCCUGGUAGUCCAUGCCGUAAACGAUGUCUACUAGCCGUUGGGGCCUUUGAGGCUUUAGUGGCGCAGCUAACGCGAUAAGUAGACCGCCUGGGGAGUACGGUCGCAAGACUAAAACUCAAAUGAAUUGACGGGGGCCCGCACAAGCGGUGGAGCAUGUGGUUUAAUUCGAUGCAACGCGAAGAACCUUACCUGGUCUUGACAUAGUAAGAACUUUCCAGAGAUGG